UGAAACCUGACUCCCCUCGCUUGGUCACGCAGUUCUUCUCUGUUCCAGGAUUGGCCGUGUGAUACAAUUCUGGCCAAAGCGACACAGGAGAAACUCUCCUGGCAGGCGUUCUUGUUCUUAAGAUGAAAUGUCGGGGAAGUACAGAUUCUUUUACUUUGAACUUUUGGUCCUUUCGUGAGGCUGGGGCUGUUCCCCUCGGACUAGGAUGGGGCAGCUCUGAGACGGGAGCCGACAUGUUGAAGACGGCGCCGCAGGCAGAGAUGCUCUGGGUUCUCAGGGGUGUCGAGGAGGCUGCUUGCCUUUGAACUUCCUUUUUUAUAAGAAUUGAUACUUCUAAAAAGAUCUCAUUGGUGUCAACAAUUCUGGAUUCUCAUUUUGAACUACUUGAAUAAGAAGAGGCUGAAACUAUUUGGAUAAAGUAAUACAUGUAACUUACUUGACUUCAAAGCACACUGACUGAACUGUACUUCAUCCUAAAGUUAUCAACUGGAAAAGAAAAAAAUUUUUUAAAACUCUAUUGGAACUAAUCUCAUUUAGAAAUGUAAAGCUUUUUUGGGCUAAAUUAGAAUGCUUGUAAAUCACUAUGAAAGUUUUAGAGAAGUCAACAUAAUAUUAUUAUUCCUGACCUCUUAGACCCAAGAUGUCUAUUUCAAGUAAUUUGACAUUAAAAAUGUGCUGACAAAUAAAGAUUAAAAAACAACACAGGAAGUUGUAAAUUAGUUGGUAACCCUUUGCAUUUAGGAAAUCAGAGACCACGAAAAUACAGUCAUUUACUUCAGUCAACCUCAACCAUAAUUUUUAACUUAAGAAAAUUUGUAGAAAGCACGAUGUUUACAUUUUGGAUAUUUUAUUCAUAGUUUGUGUGUUUUCUUUUUCUCCAGGGGGCUCAUAAAUUAUUACAAGGAAACAUGUCACAGUUAUAAAUAUUUCCCUCUCUGCUUAGCUCUAUCCUCCAACCCUCCCCCUAUCCUUUUAAAAAACUCCACUGAUUCUUUUACUGUAUUGGGUUCUUCUUUGGUCAGCACGGCAGGAUUUUCUUGCUUCAGAGGAAACUGCUGUUGAUUACUGUUACAUGCCUGGCAUUCUAGAAACAGGGCUCUUUCAGGAAGCACCCAAACCCCUCCUCCCAUGCAGGGCAGCCCCUUAUACACAUGGGUGCCGUUAUUUCAAUGAUCUAAAAAGAGUCAUGUCUUUCCCUACAGGGAACAGCUUUAGGUGCUGUAAGGUUCCAAGGCUUUUUGUGGAAUCUGAAUUCUUGGAAAUUAACCAAAAAACUGAUUUUGUGGACAAUGGCAUAUACAGCAAUAGAUUUUCUCAAAAAAGACCAUCCACCCAUAAUCUGUAGAUCAUGCUAGUUAAAAACAAACAGCAACUCUAAAAAAUUUAGGUAAUAUCUCUAUUCCAGAUUUGAAUGUUUUAGAAACCUGGAUUUUUCCCCUUACAUGUGUAGUCACAGUACUGGAUUGGCUCUGCCACUCAGUAGAGUGUGUGUCUGAGAUGUGGUUUCUUUAUUUGUAAAAUAAGGGGGUUGGACUAGGCUCAUCACUAGUCCAGUUACAGACAAUACAACAUAGGUUACCAAAAUCAAGUGACUUUUCUCCAGUUGUAUCAGACUCAAAAGACAUCGGCCUAUGCAUAUCCUCAGAUUGGUAUUUUUCUGUCACGAUGUAGAAGAAUAUUUGGGUUACACACUCAGUUACUUACUGGAAUCUUACUAGGCUGCAGCUUUUCCAUCUUUCUACCUAAUGAUCUUCUCUAAAUGUACCCUCCCCUCCACUUUCUUUAUCUUUCAAUGACAUCAACAGCUUCUUGGUUACUAGACUUAAAAUCUUGUGAUUGUCUUCAGGUGUUCUCUCUCUCCCUGUUCCUAACAUUAAAUCAGCCACAAAAUGUGUUGGGGGCACCUCUGUGAUUUCAGUUACACCUGCCCCCUUCCUAUUCAUGACAAUGCCCAUCUUAUAGCCUUCAGAUCCAGGUUCUUGCCUUCAGAGAUCUUGACCUCCAGCCAUUCUGGGCUAUUCCCUUGUCCCCAUUCUGCCCACUGUCUGGAACAUAGUGGGUGCUCAAUAAAUAUUAGUUACAUGAAAAAAAAAAAAGGAAAGAAAAGGAUGGAUGGAGGUACUUUCCAGCCCUGAAUCUUGUCUGGGCUGUCCCCUUUGCCAUGGGGUGGGA
Molecule: long non-coding RNA, 2172 nt
Organism: Manis pentadactyla (Chinese pangolin)
Lineage: Eukaryota; Metazoa; Chordata; Mammalia; Pholidota; Manidae
Exons: 3
Source: RefSeq, a predicted model, not a curated record